GUCGGUGUGGCCGAGUGGUUAAGGCGUUGGACUUGAAAUCCAAUGGGCUCU
This 51-nucleotide transfer RNA is filed under the name Spizellomyces punctatus DAOM BR117. RNAcentral describes it as "tRNA-Ser". It matches the Rfam family "tRNA", at positions 1 to 49 of the family's 71-position model. Rfam says of the family: Transfer RNA (tRNA) molecules are approximately 80 nucleotides in length. The record is from RNAcentral. Lineage: Eukaryota; Fungi; Chytridiomycota; Chytridiomycetes; Spizellomycetales; Spizellomycetaceae.